Molecule: ribosomal RNA, 305 nt
Filed under: uncultured bacterium
Lineage: Bacteria
Description: bacterial SSU rRNA
Rfam family: Bacterial small subunit ribosomal RNA
Source: RNAcentral
UUCACCCUACGGGACGCAGCAGUAGGGAAUUUUCGUCAAUGGGCGCAAGCCUGAACGAGCAAUGCCGCGUGAACGAGGAAGGUCUUCGGAUCGUAAAGUUCUGUUGAAGGGGAAAAAGAGCGGAGAGAGGAAAUGAACUCCGAUUGAUAUUACCCUUCGAGGAAGUCACGGCUAACUACGUGCCAGCAGCCGCGGUAAUACGUAGGUGGCGAGCGUUAUCCGGAAUGAUUGGGCGUAAAGGGUGCGUAGGCGGCCUGCUAAGUCUGGCGUGAAAGGUACCGGCUCAACCGGUACAGGCUCUGGAA